AUGAACGCUGGCGGCGUGCCUAAUACCUGCAAGUCGAGCGCACGGACGAGAAGCUUGCUUCUCUGAUGUUAGCGGCGGACGGGUGAGUAACACGUGGAUAACCUACCUAUAAGACUGGGAUAACUUCGGGAAACCGGAGCUAAUACCGGAUGAUAUUUUGAACCGCAUGGUUCAAAAGUGAAAGACGGUCUUGCUGUCACUUAUAGAUGGAUCCGCGCUGCAUUAGCUAGUUGGUAAGGUAACGGCUUACCAAGGCAACGAUGCAUAGCCGACCUGAGAGGGUGAUCGGCCACACUGGAACUGAGACACGGUCCAGACUCCUACGGGAGGCAGCAGUAGGGAAUCUUCCGCAAUGGGCGAAAGCCUGACGGAGCAACGCCGAGUGAGUGAUGAAGGUCUUCGGAUCGUAAAACUCUGUUAUUAGGGAAGAACAUAUGUGUAAGUAACUGUGCACAUCUUGACGGUACCUAAUCAGAAAGCCACGGCUAACUACGUG
This 496-nucleotide ribosomal RNA is filed under the name uncultured bacterium. RNAcentral's name for it is "partial 16S ribosomal RNA". It matches the Rfam family "Bacterial small subunit ribosomal RNA", at positions 29 to 507 of the family's 1533-position model. The record is from RNAcentral.